GUCAUAAUUACAUCUUUAGAUAUGCCGACAACAUAUACUAACGACAAACGAAUACGAUAAUAGAAAUGUGUAUGAAACUUCAUUUAUUAAAAUUGAUUUUAAGGUUUCAAAGAAUAUUGUCGUAGACAUAAGGAUUGAUAUGAUAUAAAGAUCAUCUUUGUUUCUAAAUGAAAGAAAACUUAUUUUAAAAUUUGUCUUAUAUUUCAAAAGUACUGGAAUAGUGAUAUACGAAACACGACGGAGCAAACAUAAUAACAAUGAAUACAUACAAUCAGUUAACUAUACUAAUGGGAAGAAGCAGAUUUUAACUUACAAUUAGCUUAAAUUUUUGCAAAUCAUGUUUAUAUAAUACAUAAGUAGCAUGUAUUACUUUAAUUACUUGUUUAGUUCAUGGAUAAUGCUAAACGAGGUUUGUUUUUCCUGUCUACAAAAUUUCAUACAUAUUACACCAAAUGAAAGUAAAAUAAGUUCAAGUAAGUUUAUUAUUACUAAAUAUAUUAAUAACAAUACUGUCGAUGGAAAAGAAAUAUUGCAGUGAUAAAUUAAAGCGAGGAUACUGAUUGACCUAGAUGCACCUAAAGCUAUAUGUUUAUUAAACUAAAAUGGAAAAAUCUUAAAUUUCAAGUCCUCUAUUUCAAAAUCCAUUUUAAAGUCUGGCUAAUUCUCUGAUUUCGCUAUAUCUUUUUCACCAACAAGAUAUUUAUAAUUAUCAAAAUGCAGUCAAGAGAUUAAAAGAAUUCCAUACACAUGGUGCACAAACAUACGCGCAUAAAUCUAUAUAUUAUUAUCGCACCUUUUUUAAGCUUAAGUAAACGAUCAAUUUAGAUCUCUUUUCUUCAAUUAGACGAUCAUUUAUUCAUACACUAUGUUCAACAGUAAUUAUUAUAUUUAUGAACUAGAAGGAUAAAUAAUAAAUCACGAACGCAUAACAAAAUAUUGUUCGCGCUUUACAGGCAAUGUACAAGGAUGUCGUCGUAUUAAAACUUUAUAAAUACGAAAAAUAGCAGAAUAUUAAAGCUGUACGAUAUUACUAUCAUUGCAGAUGUGUAAGUUCGUAGAAGGUUCUCUCGUGCUACCCCUAACCAAAGCUUCGUGGUACUCAACAAAAGUUUUCUUUGACAACGUUUACCGUGUAUCGAUGUUAUUUGUUACUAAAAUACCAGAUCUCUAAAAUUCGGAUUUACAUUGAUAAAUACAAACGUAGUACAUUAACUUUUGCUCCUUAGAUUUUAUAACUCUAAGUUGUUGUAAUCAUAUAUGGAAAUUCAACAGAAUUAAAACGAUUUCAUACAAUCUUUGAUCAACAGCUGAAUACUCGCUUACCAAAAUUUGACUACUGGCAGUAUUGUUGGAAGUACGUCGAUUGAAAGAAGCUAAUAAUAAGACCGUCCUAAUGACAUUUUCUUUAUAUUUUUAUCAACUUGGUACUCGUUGUCAAUAUACUCAUUGAGUCGCUCGAUUAUAGGCAAUUAGAAGCUAUUUUCGAUUCAUAAUAUUGCUUUUUUCACCUCGAUUUUUUCAAUUAUAAUCGUAUUACAUUAAAUUUUAACAUAAUGAUCAAUGUACCUAUACUAUUGAUUGAAACUAUGAAGUAAAUCCAAUUUAAAAAAAGCAUCGUUUUUUGACAAAUUUACGAUAUUAUUUGCUACGUAUCUAAGAACGAAAUGUAACCUUGUUGGUAUAUUUAAUUUUCUUGAGCACUAUGAUUUUAUUUGAUAAUAACUACUUUCGCUCAAGCAAAAAUAAAAAUAUCAAAUAAAUCGUAACAUCUAGAAAAUUGAAGAAAGAGUUUUAACGAUUACUGUUAACUUUUGUUUGCAUAGAAAUAAAAUCAAUGAGCAAAUAAAAUCUCCGUGUAUCGUAGCAUAUAUAUAUUCACGUAUAGAUCCGUGAUGUAUCUGUUUGUUCGCAAAUCAUGAAACAAGUAUUCAGUAUACUUUCGAGACCCGGAAGAUAUGUAUGCAUAUGUAUACAUAAGGAGCAAGCAAUUAGGCAUGUUUCUCCUUCUAUUAGGUAUACUUAUUGUUAGAUAUUGAAUAUAUAUUAACCCUUCGUAGAUAAACAUCUCUUUUUACAAUCUGUAGGGCCGUUUAACUAGGUCGUUCAUAUUCAAGUUAAAUUUCCUAACCAAUCUAUUCUUUCAAAAAAAUUUUUUAAAUUUCACAAUUACUUAUCAAUGUUUCUAUUACGCUAUACAAAUUGUUUUCGUCAAGCUAAACACUUGAAAAAUUUGUCAAUAAAAAUAAAAAUUUGGAGGAGCUACAACGACUCAGUUUCCCAACGAAGGGUUAAUUUUACAAAAAGAUAUCAUCUAAUAUUUAUAAGAAAAAGCCUUAUAUAUCAAUAACUUUCAGUUCCAAACUAACUCUAAGAAACUCAUUGAAUUUAUGGUAAACGUUGAUGUUUUAAGUGCGGACGAUACACUCAAUAAAAAUUUCGUCAACGAAGCAUACAAUAUAAUUGUGAAGAAUUUACGUAUAUCAGACCUCUUCAUCGCGUGUGCCGAUGAGCUAUGGAAUUCUAGAUCGUGUUUUAGUGUAGAGGAACACUGGACAUAAAAUCUCAACGGAAAUACUGGAUUGCGAAAACUUUAAAGUAAUCUAUCUAUUCAAAUAUUCUCAUACAAACCAUGAGCCAAGAUAUAAUAGCCAAGCUAAAAAAACUUUAUCACCAUAAAACAUUACGAAAAGCUACAAUAUAUGGCGGAAUGGACGAAUUCCAUGCACGUUAUUUAAUCAAAGAUUGUAUAGAAUUGUUAGACGAGUCAUGGACAGAGGUAACAGUAAAAAAUAUUAGAGAUGCUUGGAGAGAGAUUAUACCGCACCAAUAUUUACCAUUGUGAUCUGCAACAUGAUAUAAGCGUUAUUACUGGUGAAAGAUUCUUAGCAGAGGAAGUAAUAUAAUUUAUGUCAGACUGUCAAAAAGCUGAAAGUAGAAGCGUAUUUGUAAAGGAGGAAAAGGAAGACCAGUAUGAAAAUGCAAUAGAAGAACAGUACAAAAUCAAAGAAUAUAAAGAAAUCGGAGCUGUAUAAUAAUAGAAACGAUGAUCUGGAGUAUUUAUUUCAACGUUUACAUGUAUAUGUAUUAAGGGAAGCGCCUUUUAUUCAACGAAUAUUUCAAGUUCUUAAAAAUCAUUUUUUAGGUACAAAUAAGUAGAAUAAGAACAUUGACAGAAGAAAUUGUAAAUACAUAAGUUUUUGCACACUAUUUACUUGAAAAUUAAUACCAGAAACUACGCAACAAUCUUAUAUUAUACCUUAAUUCAUUCCGCAAUUUUUUAAAUAAACCUUAUAAAUUAUACCUAUC
Bombus pyrosoma is the source of this 3306-nucleotide long non-coding RNA. RefSeq lists it as uncharacterized. NCBI's taxonomy places the organism in Eukaryota, Metazoa, Arthropoda, Insecta, Hymenoptera, Apidae. The record is from RefSeq and is a predicted model, not a curated record. The transcript is spliced from 4 exons.